Leersia perrieri is the source of this 114-nucleotide microRNA precursor. It matches the Rfam family "MIR397 microRNA precursor family". NCBI's taxonomy places the organism in Eukaryota, Viridiplantae, Streptophyta, Magnoliopsida, Poales, Poaceae. The record is from Rfam.
AGUAAAGGUAUUAUUGAGUGCAGCGUUGAUGAACCUCCCGGGCCAGCUAAUUAGCUUGAAACUCUGAAAUUGGCUCAAUUAGGUUCACCAACACUGCACCCAAUUACGCCUUUG